Molecule: ribosomal RNA, 636 nt
Filed under: Oenococcus oeni
Lineage: Bacteria; Bacillati; Bacillota; Bacilli; Lactobacillales; Lactobacillaceae
Description: bacterial SSU rRNA
Rfam family: Bacterial small subunit ribosomal RNA
Source: RNAcentral
UUUAAAUUGAGAGUUUGAUCCUGGCUCAGGAUGAACGCUGGUGGCGUGCCUAAUACAUGCAAGUCGUACGCUAGCCGCUGAAUUGAUCCUUCGGGUGAAGUGAGGCAAUGACUAGAGUGGCGAACUGGUGAGUAACACGUAAGAAACCUGCCCUUUAGUGGGGGAUAACAUUUGGAAACAGAUGCUAAUACCGCGUAACAACAGAUCACACAUGUGAUCUGUUUGAAAGGUCCUUUUGGAUCGCUAGAGGAUGGUCUUGCGGCGUAUUAGCUUGUUGGUAGGGUAGAAGCCUACCAAGGCAAUGAUGCGUAGCCGAGUUGAGAGACUGGCCGGCCACAUUGGGACUGAGACACUGCCCAAACUCCUACGGGAGGCUGCAGUAGGGAAUUUUCCGCAAUGCACGAAAGUGUGACGGAGCGACGCCGCGUGUGUGAUGAAGGCUUUCGGGUCGUAAAGCACUGUUGUAAGGGAAGAAUAACUGAAUUCAGAGAAAGUUUUCAGCUUGACGGUACCUUACCAGAAAGGGAUGGCUAAAUACGUGCCAGCAGCCGCGGUAAUACGUAUGUCCCGAGCGUUAUCCGGAUUUAUUGGGCGUAAAGCGAGCGCAGACGGUUUAUUAAGUCUGAUGUGAAAUCC